GUAUAAGAGACAGCAGUAGCCGCGGUAAUACAGAGGGUGCGAGCGUUAAUCGGAUUUACUGGGCGUAAAGCGUGCGUAGGCGGCUUCUUAAGUCGGAUGUGAAAUCCCUGAGCUUAACUUAGGAAUUGCAUUCGAUACUGGGAAGCUAGAGUAUGGGAGAGGAUGGUAGAAUUCCAGGUGUAGCGGUGAAAUGCGUAGAGAUCUGGAGGAAUACCGAUGGCGAAGGCAGCCAUCUGGCCUAAUACUGACGCUGAGGUACGAAAGCAUGGGGAGCAAACAGGAUUAGAUACCCGGGUAGUCCCUGUCUCUUAUAC
This 314-nucleotide ribosomal RNA is filed under the name uncultured bacterium. Its description in RNAcentral is "partial 16S ribosomal RNA". It matches the Rfam family "Bacterial small subunit ribosomal RNA", at positions 495 to 807 of the family's 1533-position model. The record is from RNAcentral.